This is a non-coding RNA of Arthrobotrys conoides, 105 nucleotides long. The record is from the annotation of a GenBank genome assembly. Lineage: Eukaryota; Fungi; Ascomycota; Orbiliomycetes; Orbiliales; Orbiliaceae.
GCUUCCUUGGUGUAGUUGGUUAUCACGUCAGUCUCAUAUGAUUCAUAUGAAGACCUUACACAGGUAGAAAUCUGAAGGUCGCCAGUUCGAUCCUGGCAGGGAGCA